Molecule: ribosomal RNA, 253 nt
Filed under: uncultured bacterium
Lineage: Bacteria
Description: partial 16S ribosomal RNA
Rfam family: Bacterial small subunit ribosomal RNA
Source: RNAcentral
UACGUAGGUGGCAAGCGUUAUCCGGAUUUAUUGGGCGUAAAGGGAACGCAGGCGGUCUUUUAAGUCUGAUGUGAAAGCCUUCGGCUUAACCGGAGUAGUGCAUUGGAAACUGGGAGACUUGAGUGCAGAAGAGGAGAGUGGAACUCCAUGUGUAGCGGUGAAAUGCGUAGAUAUAUGGAAGAACACCAGUGGCGAAAGCGGCUCUCUGGUCUGCAACUGACGCUGAGGCUCGAAAGCGUGGGGAGCAAACAGG